CUGGAUUGUUUAAAAAAAAAAAAAAAAAAAAAAAAACAUCUCAGCUGAAUCACGCUGCUCCCCCUCUUUCAUUCCUUCCCUCGUUUCAUUUCAGUGAGACGGAGAGUAGCUCAUGCAGUACCCAGCAGCAAGCAGAAUGCAAGGAAUCUACAGUAUUCCCCUGUCUCACACAAGAAGCCCAGUUCACUGCUAAAGGACAAGUGAGGAGGGGAAGAGGCAGAGCCAGAGAGCAGUCAGGGGAGGAUUCACAGUGCUGUGGUUCAGAGGAGGAACGUACGGUCUUGUCCUGCUCUGCUCUGCUCUGCUCUUGUUGCCUCAGGUGUGUGUGCUCCUCCCUCCCCUCUGUGGUGCCUGCUGUCAGCUCCAUCCCUGGGUGGCUGAGGCCAUGGUGUUGGUGCUGCGAGCCUUGCUGCCCUGCCUCUGCACCCUGCUCUCCCUAGACCUGCUGCCUGGGGUGGAACCCGCUGUGCCCUUGGAGGACUUCUAUCCCUUUGGCCAGGACAAGGGGGACUCCCAGACCAUCGCUCAGGACGACGGAGGCUCGGGGCUCGUGGAGAUCUCUGUUGAGUUCCCCUUCUUUGGAGACAGGCACACAGGACUCUAUGUUAACAACAAUGGCCUUGUAUCUUUCCUGAGGGAGGUGUCUCAGUUCACACCUGUAGCUUUUCCAAUCGCUGGGGACAGGAGGGUUGUAGCGCCAUUCUGGGCUGAUGUGGACAACCGUCGGGCAGGUAGAGUCUUCUACAGAGAGAGCCAGGAGCCUUCCAUCCUGAGUAGGGCCUCAGGUGAUGUCAGGACGUACUUUUCAGAGUUUCCCAACUUCAACGCAACAUGGGUCCUCAUCUCGACAUGGCACCAAGUUACUUUCUUUGGAGGCAACUCCCUCACACCGGUAAAUACUUUCCAAGUGGUGCUCAUUACAGAUGGAGAGCUUUCCUUCACUAUAUUCCAGUACAAUAAUAUCACUUGGACCACAGGCAUGCAUGCCAGCAGUGGAGGAAACAUGGCUGGGUUGGGAGGUAUCGCAGCGCAGGCAGGCUUCAAUGCUGGUGACGGCAAGCGCUAUUUCAACAUCCCCGGAUCUCGCACAGCUGAUGUGGUGAACGUUGAGGGGACCACCAACGUGGGCUACCCGGGCAGAUGGGUCUUCCGUAUAGAUGAUGCACAUGUAGAAGUGGGUGGCUGCAAUAACUCUGCAUCCGUGUGCCCACACCUGCGACCGUGCCUGAACGGAGGCCAGUGCAUCGACGACUGUAUUACAGGCAAUCCCUCCUUCACUUGCUCCUGCUUGGCUGGCUUCACUGGUCGACGAUGCCAGAUCAAUGUUGAUGAAUGUGCCUCAUAUCCUUGCCAGAAUGGAGGAACUUGUAAAGACCAGAUUAACAGUUUCAUCUGUCAGUGUCCUCCAGGAUACACUGGGAUUCUGUGUGAAACAGACAUUGACGAGUGCAAAGACAGACCGUGCUUCAACAACGCGUUGUGUGUACAGGGCGCUGGCAGUUUCACCUGUGUGUGUGAACCAGGUUACACUGGUGUCCUGUGUGAGACAGACAUAAACGAAUGUGAGUCGCAGCCCUGUCUGAGUGGAGGAGAGUGCAUCGACCAAGUGGCCAACUUCACCUGUGUUUGUCCCGCGCCCUUCGCAGGAAUGCUCUGUGAGACAGAACUGGUUGCGCUUCAGGUAAAUUCAACUGAGGCAGAAAACCAAACAGCCCUGUGUGAGGAGGAAGAUUGCAAGAAACACCAGAUCUGUGAAUACACCAGCGAUGGUAUCCACAACUGUACCUGCGCUCCAGGCUUCUAUGGUGACAAGUGUGAAGAGGAAUGUCUUUGCCAGAAUGGGGGUGUCUGUUUGGACAUCAAUGGGACUUGUGAAUGCCCUUCAGGCUACACAGGACUCUACUGUCAGUUUGAAGUAACCCAGACACCGUGCAGCAACAGCAGGCCGUGUCCUGACGGAGGUCCUUGUUUGGAGUACGGGGGAACCUACCUGUGUACAUGUCAGACCAGUGGAGCAGAACUAGAUCAUAAGGACUUCUACCCCUAUGUACAGCCCCGAUCGGUCUGCGACUCCUCUCCGUGUCUGAAUGGGGGCUACUGCUACGAGCGGGACGGAGGCUACACCUGCGAAUGCAAAUACGGAUACUGGGGGAAGCACUGUGAGAAAGUUAGACUCAAUACCUGUGCUUCUGGUCCCUGUCGCAAUGGAGGCUCCUGUAAGGAGGAGGCCGGGAGCUACAGAUGUGUGUGUCCUUACAGAUUCACUGGAAAACACUGUGAAGUCGGAAAACCAGACCCCUGUGCCUCCAGUCCCUGUCGAAAUGGGGGAACGUGUUUUCACUACAUAGGAAAGUAUAAAUGUGAAUGCACUGAGGCCUUCAGCGGCAGACACUGUGAAAUAAGCAGGAGCUCAGUACAAACCUCUGCAGGGCUGAGCUGUGGGCAGCCCCCACAAGUGAAGCACGCUGAAGUCCAGUUCUCCUCAACAACACCAGGCUCCAUGGCUGUGUAUAUAUGCCACUCAGGCUUCACGUCUGUGCCCAGAGCCACCCAGAGCAUCUGUGGUAUUCAGGGAGACUGGAGCCAGCCACCCGUUUGUGAGGACAUCAAUGAGUGCCUGUCACAGCCUUGCCUCAGUCGUGGUACGUGUCAUAACCAGGUCGGAUCCUACCAGUGUGAGUGUAAUGAUGGCUUCGGUGGAAGCCGCUGUCAAACAGACAUGAAUGAGUGUCUGUCGGAACCCUGCAAGUACGGGGGCACGUGUGAGGACCGGCCUGGCUCCUACGUGUGCCACUGUCCACAGGGCUUCAGAGGGCAGAACUGUGAGAUAGAGCAGGACGCGUGUGAAUCCAACCCCUGUCUGAAUGGAGGUGUGUGUCGGGGUUACAGAAGGCAUUAUGUGUGCGUGUGCAAAGCUGGAUUUUUCGGGGACCAGUGCCAGAUGUUGGAAGACCCGUGUGUACUGCAACUUUGUGGAAAUCGUGGCGUCUGCAGGACUGACAGGAAGGGAAACUACAACUGUGUUUGCAAAACAGGUCACACAGGAAAGGACUGUGAGAAGGACCUGUUGCCACCCUCUGGUCUCCACGUGCUGCGUGUGGAGGAGAACGAGGUGGAGCUGCGCUGGGAUGAGCCGGAGCCCUCUCAGAGCCUGAUCAGCGGGUUCGCUGUCUCCUAUGCUCCCCUGGGCCAGAGCGAUCCCAAAACAGAUUACCUGGACAGGCAGCAGUCCUCCCAUGUUAUGCGAGGCCUGGUGCCUGGCAUGCUGUACAACAUCUCCACCUUCUCCAUCAAACACAGCACCAACAGAAAAGACUCCAGCCAGCCUGCCACCGCACUAAUACGCACCAGACCUCGGCGGGUGGAGCAGUUGCAGGUGGUCAAUGUGUCCUCGUCUCAGGUUUGGCUGAGUUGGAUGGUUCGGGCAGCUCGUCACGCAGCAGUCAGCAGGGUGCACGUGUCUUUAUUGCCUUCAGAUGGGAGUGAGGCUCGCACUGCAGUGCUCAACACGAGCACCACAGAGUACACCUUCAGUUCCCUGGUUCCUGGUCAGAUGUACACAGUGGAUGUGCUGACUCAGAGUGGAAUCCGACCAGAUGAGUUUCCCUCCACCAGCCACUCAGCUGGACCCCUGAAAUUCUGGACAAGGCCUCUCCCCCCACAGAACCUCUCUCUGUCACACUUGACCACUAACUCAGCACUGAUCACCUGGAGCCGCCACCCGAGAAGUGUCCCAGAUGGCUUUGUGGUCAACGUCACCCGAGGGUUGAAUACCAGGAGUCGCUUCCUGCCCAAUGGGAAGUUAGGAUCAUAUACCCUCCGUGAACUGACGCCCGGACAGCACUACUAUGUGGCUCUCACGUCCAUCAGAAACACAGGGCAGGAACAGAUCCACAGCAUACCUCAGCACUUAGCCUUCACUACCUUGCCAAUGGGGGCCAGAUCACCAAGAAGAGAGAGACCAACAGCGACUGGACAGGGGACUCAGGUGGGACGCACACCUCCCCCAUCUCAGCCUCAGGACCUGGGAGGCACAGCGGAAACAGAGAACUCAGAAGAACCGCGCAGAUACACAGAACUCAUUGACAGGAGGGGGAAGAUAACAGCCAAGUUCCCUCACUUACCCCGAAAAGCCAUUCGACAUCGUAAGAAACCUGACCCUCCGAUUAGAUUAGAGAAGAUGGAAGAAACAACAAACAAAAUCAGCCUCGCACUAGAGAUUCAAGAAGAAGGUUUAAGUACGAAGCCUGAGUUGCCUCAGGACUGCCGCAGUCUGCCCUGCCAGAACGGGGGUACAUGUGUGUACGGAGGUGACUCCUUCAUCUGCGACUGCGCAGUGGGGUUCAAAGGCAGCCAGUGUGAGCUGUCGUGCCAGCGAGUGCCACACCCAUGUACCCGUCUCUACUCUGAAACCAAGAGUGUGCCUGUCUGGGAGGACGGAGUGUGCCACUACCUGUACAAAAGAACAUAUAAAAUACAACAGGACGUCUGUUAUCGAGAGAUUUGUGAACCCGUGCUUCCCAAGAAAAGUCAGGGUGAGUUCAAAAAGCUGCCUGAACAGUGAUAAAGACAUUUUUAGCAAAUGAACCAAUGCAAUUCUUUUCACACACUGGUAUUAACUUUCUUAACAGUCAGAAGAACAAACAGGCAACAAUAAAGAGCACUUGGAUACUGAUGAAAGAACCGUCAUCACUGUCAUGUGAAAAACCUCCUUACUUCAAUUUUGGUGUUUAUAAUCUACUUGAAGUAACUGAUUAUGGUCAUUUUUGUGCUGAAAAACCCUGUCAGAACCCACUGUAACGUUUCAGACACAGAACGCCAUUCAUCUGAGAAUAAGGUCGCAUUUGUCAAAUCCUGAGAGCCCAGAGUUUGUAGCUCCGUGCUUCUCAAAGAGGCUUUAAUCAAUCAAUUGAAAAUCACCCACAUCAUUUAUCAUUUGUGAUGCUGUGACUGAGUUUUCAUACGAACACUUGUAUGCAAAUAUUAAUGGUAAGCAGUCCACUGCAGUGCAUCAGAGACCUUAUAUACCUCAUUUCCAUGUCCAUGCUGACACAUUAGGAGAGGUUUUUUUUUUAUUAUUGUGAUUCAGCUGCAGGUUUGUCCCUCAGGGAAAUAACUGUAGAGUGUCCCAGUCUUUCCUUUAUACCAGCCCCGUGAUCUUCUGAUAAGGACGAUGGGAAAUGUGUAUUUUUUCCACGCCCCAUAAAUUCAUCUCUUCCUCUGACAAUGGCGCGCAGUGUUUUCUGUGCAUAAAUGUCUUUUCUCUGUGUCUUAGCAGGCAUCACUGCUUGCUACUGUAAAUAGUGUUUAUAGGCCAU
Toxotes jaculatrix (banded archerfish) is the source of this 5318-nucleotide RNA transcript. It is a transcript of the gene named sushi, nidogen and EGF-like domains 1, with no coding region annotated. The record is from RefSeq and is a predicted model, not a curated record. Lineage: Eukaryota; Metazoa; Chordata; Actinopteri; Toxotidae. The transcript is spliced from 31 exons.